This is a long non-coding RNA of Saccostrea cuccullata (small rock oyster), 717 nucleotides long. RefSeq lists it as uncharacterized. The record is from RefSeq and is a predicted model, not a curated record. NCBI's taxonomy places the organism in Eukaryota, Metazoa, Mollusca, Bivalvia, Ostreida, Ostreidae. The transcript is spliced from 3 exons.
GCAUUUGAUAUGGAUUGGAAUUAAUAAAACACAAAAAAUGAAGGAAAUGUAUGCAAGUCGACAGGAAUCAUAAUUACUUACGGAUGGUUGAUGCAGGUGUGCCUUAAAACAUUUACUAAUUUUUGUCAUCAAAACUACACGUAUUUACUAAUCUGGAUACCAACUAAGAUUUUAAUUUGUAGACUCCCAACAGUUCACCAUUUAUGGUUAAUAAUAACCCAUCAUAAAGGACCAUGACUUUGACACAUCACAUGGAAUUGUGAGACAACUAUAAAUCCAUUGCAGUAUGGGAAAGAAGAUGUGGAUAUAAUUUAACAGCCAUCAGACAAUUAGACUAAGAAAACCUGGCAAUUUAAUCAAGCAUUAACAGCUGUGGUACUAUUUUUCAUCACCUAUAGAUAUAAAAGUGUUGGAUUUUGGAUGGUUGUACCUCUGUCAAGCUCUACAUGAAAUAUAAAAAAAUUUCAAGCCGUGUGAGAAUCAGCCAAGAAUAUUCCAAUGAUGGAUCAAGAUACGCUGUAGUAAAAUGAACAUCAAAUAAAUGAUUACUAGUAUUUUGAAACUUUAGAAAAAUCAAUGUUAACUUUGAAGAUCGAUAUUUGAGUGAUUACAUGUGUUUUUAAAAAUCCACAUAAAAAUUGAAAAUUUUUAGAUUGUUAUUGUUAUUCCUGUAAGUGUUAUUAUCAAAUCAUGUAAUAAAUAUUUUAUAUAUUUAUA